AGAGUUUGAUCUUGGCUCAGGAUGAACGCUGGCGGCGUGCUUAACACAUGCAAGUCGAACGAAACACCUUAUUUGAUUUUCUUCGGAACUGAAGAUUUGGUGAUUGAGUGGCGGACGGGUGAGUAACGCGUGGGUAACCUGCCCUGUACAGGGGGAUAACAGUCAGAAAUGACUGCUAAUACCGCAUAAGACCACAGCACCGCAUGGUGCAGGGGUAAAAACUCCGGUGGUACAGGAUGGACCCGCGUCUGAUUAGCUGGUUGGUGAGGUAACGGCUCACCAAGGCGACGAUCAGUAGCCGGCUUGAGAGAGUGAACGGCCACAUUGGGACUGAGACACGGCCCAAACUCCUACGGGAGGCAGCAGUGGGGAAUAUUGCACAAUGGGGGAAACCCUGAUGCAGCGACGCCGCGUGAGUGAAGAAGUAUCUCGGUAUGUAAAGCUCUAUCAGCAGGGAAGAAAAUGACGGUACCUGACUAAGAAGCCCCGGCUAACUACGUGCCAGCAGCCGCGGUAAUACGUAGGGGGCAAGCGUUAUCCGGAAUUACU
This 549-nucleotide ribosomal RNA is filed under the name uncultured bacterium. Its description in RNAcentral is "bacterial SSU rRNA". It matches the Rfam family "Bacterial small subunit ribosomal RNA", at positions 8 to 555 of the family's 1533-position model. The record is from RNAcentral.